Long non-coding RNA from Cervus elaphus (red deer), 3370 nucleotides. RefSeq lists it as uncharacterized. The record is from RefSeq and is a predicted model, not a curated record. NCBI's taxonomy places the organism in Eukaryota, Metazoa, Chordata, Mammalia, Artiodactyla, Cervidae. The transcript is spliced from 4 exons.
UCCCCGCUCCAGCCGGAGCAGGCGCAGCGGUCGCCGGCCUCCCUGCGGACUCUGACCCCGCGACGGCGCCGCGGCCGCUUUCGGCCCCCAGCCCCCUCCGCUGCCCUCCUCCGGGCCCUCUCCCGCAAAGGUUCCGAGAGUCGCCCGACGCUCCCGCCAGCGGAGCAGGAUCGGGAAGAAAAGCAUCUCCCUGUCCUGGGAUGGGCUCACCAGAUGUUCCCCAGAUGUUUGCUGAUGAUGAGAAACAUCUUCCUCUGGGAUCACAAACUCCCUAAUAUUGAACCACCUGCACUACUAGAAUGAACUUACUUGGAUACAAUGGAUGAUUCUUUGAAGGUCAUGAGCUGAUGAAGUCGAUUAAAAUGUACUUGUGUCUUAUCCAAAUUUGUUUGCAUUUGCUGUAUGUAUAUUGUUAUUCUCAACUCAUAUCCUAUUCUUGAUUUUGAAGCUGUGCUAUUUGGUGCCUAGAGAUUUCAAAAAACUAGAUUCUUAAUGUCUCUCAUGUUUAACUUCCUUUUCUCUAAAUUAGCAAUUUUGUUUUGAAUCUGACCUUGACUGAUGGUAACCGUUCCUCUGGAGGAAGAAAUGGCAACCCACUCCAGUAUUCUUGCCUGGGAAGUCCCAUGGACAGAGGAGUCAGGCAGGUUGCAGUCCAUGGGGUUGCAAAGAGUCAGACAUGACUGAGCAACUGAGCACAUAUGCAUGAUGGUCAUGCUGUAGUCUCAGCUCAGUAUUUUCUUGUAUACCUUGGUUUAUAUUUUAACUUUUCUGAGUUACUUUGGUAAAGAUGUAUCUCUUCUAUAUCACAUACUAUAGAACACUGUUUUAUGAUCUGAUGAGAGAAUCUUUUUAAGGAUGGGUUUAUCCUUAUUUACAUUUCUUGAUAUAACAUGUAUCAUGCUUACUUAUGUCAUCUUAUCUUCUGCUGUGUUUCCUAUUUUAAUGCUUCCUCUGUUUUCUAUGUUUUACAUGUGUAUUUUUUUUGUUUUCUUUGAUGUGUGUGUGUGUGUGUGUGUGUGUGUGUGUGAGCACACAUGUGUUUGUAUUUUGGUCUGAUGAUUUGAAGGUUUAUAGUCUGUUUUUAAUUUUUCCACUGCUUGUCUUUAUAUUGAUUUAUUUCUCUGCCAAGAGAAGAAAACCUUUAAAUGUAGGGAAAGAGUCAUAUUCUCAAAGGGCUGAGGCUUGCCACCAUAGUUCUGUCUUCGAAUUCUUGAUAUCCCCAGAAACAAACAAAAAACAAAACAAAAUUCUUAACAUUCUCAACAUGAAAAAUGGUGAUAAGUCUCGCCCUGAAACCAAAGGUUCAGGAUAAUCAAAAUCUGAAUGUGCCACUGAGAUGCUUCUUGAGUGAACCAGCCACCUACAGCAAAGAGCUAUCGGCGCCACAAAGGGAUGCUGUAUCUCAUCUCUUAUUUCAAAACCUCAUGUGAAUAUCUUACCCUCAACAGCCAGCAUACUUAGUUCAACAGUGUCUUUUACUUUCUGUCCAUGUCUCCGCAGUCUUCUGAAAAGGCAUAGUUGGAGAGGCAUGAAUGGAGGGCAUUGACUCUUCUUGCUAUUUGUUUCUGCACAUAUCGAGAUCAGGAGCCAGAUUGUUGCCUGACAGCUGGUCUUUGUGAAUAUAGUCGUGUGUGGUUGGUGUUCAGAUGCAAGUUGUGUGUGUGUUUUCUUUUAAAUCUCAUCAGUUAGCGUACCAAGAGAUAAUGGCACACUCAAAACAGUAUCAUUUUAGGGAAGCUUAUUUACAAAGGGACUACUUACAAGCAUGUGGGUGUAGGAGCACCCCAAGGGAUGGUGCAGUAACCUGGAUGAGCAGCAGCAGAGCUGUUACUACCAGUAAGUCUGAAGGUGGGCUCCAGGGGGUUACUAUAAGGGAGAGAACUGGGUAGGCUGGCUGCCGUGGGAAGACCAGUGGCCCCCCACUAGAGGAUACAUCCAACCCACAGAGACUCACAGGCAGGAAACCAAAGGACUAAAUGCCUUGAUCUCUUUCUCUUCCCUCUCCUUUCUCUGCUGGGCCUCACCGUGGCUGAACCCAACUGGAAGCCAGAAGCUUAGUCAUUUAAUCUUGCAAAGGAAUUCAGUGAGAAAUAGAACAAAAAGUCAGCAGGUACAUUUCCCUCCUGUGUUUUUGGAAGAUAUCUGGCCAGCCUGACACAUUAGUAGUGCACCCAAUAGGAAUGCUUUCAAUGAUCAAUAAUCCACUACCAUUUACUUGUGUACUGUAAUGGGAAGGUUGGAAGGUGGUAGCCACUGACAUAAUGUCAGUACUGGUGUCUCUAGAAUUCUCUCAGCUUUUACCUUAAGCUGGUUGCUUCAUAUUUGCAAGGCAGCUGCCCAAGCAUCAUGACCAUGGUUAAGUUAGGAAGAAAGGGGGAGGCGGGGGAUACCAGCAUGUUUAUCCAUUUUCUGAAAAAACAAAACCAAAACUUUUAAUAGAAAUACCCUCAGUAGACUUGUCAUCAUAUUUCAUUGACUAGAACCGGAUCUCAUGUAACAGCAAGGGAGAUUGGGAGAGUGGAAAAUGGGCUGGUCAUGGUUGAUUUAGACCACUUGUAAUUAAUUGCCUGAGAUUGGAGACCUUGGUGCAUGGAUCAAAAUCAGGAAUCUGUUAUUAGGAAAGAAGGGAUGGAAUAAAUUUCUGGAUCAACAAUGAACAAGGCUUGCCACAAGUGGUUUGUAUUCAACAAUAAAGCCCAUUGUUUGCUAGCACUCACUCCGGACAGCCAUUGCUCUUUCACACUAUGUGCCAUUGAUUUUAUGUGACAUCCAAAAAUGUUGUUUGAUCAAGUAAUUUUGCCAGGAGCUUGCUCUGCUUUUCCUCAGUAGCCUACGACUCAGUUUACAAGUCAUGGCUUGAAUUGUGUUCAUUUUCACUGUAAGGUAGACAACUUUAAUGAUGCCUCUCUGGGUUUGAUCUUUUCUCUGUCUUUAGUGACAAAAUGUAUCCUGACUACACUGGACAUUUACCCAUGUUACGGAGACUUGAUUGGUUUUCUAUCUAGCUUACAGGAUCUGAUGUGAAGAGGAUGCAAAAAGUCUCAGUGGGCUUCCUGCCACUAUUUGACAAAGUUUCAUAAGAGAUGAUGCCUCUGGGACUAAAGGAGAUGAUUACCAACUAACAAAAUUCCAUUUUCAGGUAUUUGUUACCAUAUCUGAGUCACACUUUUUCUUUUUUUUCUGUUUGUAUAAAAUUAUCCCAUCCUACACACUCAUUUGCCCUGGUAUAUGUGGUCAUAAUUUAUACUGCAGUAUUUUUGUUGCUAUUUUCUAUACUAUUUUUAUGCUUUAGUGAACCUCCUUUAAACUACUGAUCCAUUUUUAUGAUUUGGUGAUAUACUAUCAUAUAAUAGUGACAAUAAAAUGGAAA